Molecule: transfer RNA, 64 nt
Filed under: Pyrrhidium sanguineum
Lineage: Eukaryota; Metazoa; Arthropoda; Insecta; Coleoptera; Cerambycidae
Description: tRNA-Pro
Source: RNAcentral
CAAGGAAUAGUUUAUAUAGAAUUUUAAUUUUGGAGAUUAAAGAAGGGAGAUUUCCUUUCCUUGA